UAGUUCACAAACAUUUCCUUUAUUUGGCAAAGUUGGAGUAAAAGUAAUUACAGAAUUUAUGAAAAAGACUUAAAGAAGAAUUCCCAUCACAAAUACCGCCAAGAAUUAUGUUAAAGUGCGUGGACAAGAAGUGGUCAAUAUAUUCACAGAAAAAACUGUAAAGAAAAAGAAAUCGGCGAUCUUGACGUAUUUAACAAUAAUGAUACAAAAAACAUUUUAAGCCAGAUGGUUGGUGACUUUAUACUGAGAAUUGUAAUUACAUCCUACAAGAUUUUCAUAACAAUUUAAUUCUUUUCAAUUAUACAUAAAUAAAUUCUUCCUCUCUCUGUCAUCACUGAGCAAAGAAUUAAUAAGUAUUGAUUAAUUGCAAUUACAAACGAAUUUAGACGGAA
Molecule: long non-coding RNA, 392 nt
Organism: Xenia sp. Carnegie-2017
Lineage: Eukaryota; Metazoa; Cnidaria; Anthozoa; Malacalcyonacea; Xeniidae
Exons: 2
Source: RefSeq, a predicted model, not a curated record